GUAGGGAAUCUUCCACAAUGGGCGAAAGCCUGAUGGAGCAAUGCCGCGUGAGUGAAGAAGGUCUUCGGAUCGUAAAGCUCUGUUAUCGGAGAAGAACACGGAGUGCAGUAACUGGCAUUCCGCUGACGGUAUCCGACCAGAAAGUCACGGCUAACUACGUGCCAGCAGCCGCGGUAAUACGUAGGUGACAAGCGUUGUCCGGAUUUAUUGGGCGUAAAGCGAGCGCAGGCGGUCUUUUAAGUCUGAUGUGAAAGCCCACGGCUCAACCGUGGAUGGUCAUUGGAAACUGGAAGACUUGAAUGCAGAAGAGGAAAGUGGAAUUCCAUGUGUAGCGGUGAAAUGCGUAGAUAUUCAUGGGAACGCCAACGGCGAAGGCAGCUGACUGGGCCUGUUCUGACGCUCAGGUACGAAAGCGUGGGGAGCAAACAGGAUUAGAUACCCUAGUAGUCC
RNAcentral lists this ribosomal RNA (450 nucleotides) under uncultured bacterium. Its description in RNAcentral is "bacterial SSU rRNA". It matches the Rfam family "Bacterial small subunit ribosomal RNA", at positions 354 to 796 of the family's 1533-position model. The record is from RNAcentral.